Molecule: RNase P RNA, 428 nt
Filed under: Bradyrhizobium amphicarpaeae
Lineage: Bacteria; Pseudomonadati; Pseudomonadota; Alphaproteobacteria; Hyphomicrobiales; Nitrobacteraceae
Description: RNase P RNA component class A
Rfam family: Bacterial RNase P class A
About the family: Ribonuclease P (RNase P) is a ubiquitous endoribonuclease, found in archaea, bacteria and eukarya as well as chloroplasts and mitochondria.
Source: RNAcentral
UCAGUCGGCCGGACGGCCGCUCCGGCAGGUGCCGAAAGGCCGCCGGGGAGGAAAGUCCGGGCUCCCUUGACAUACGGUGCCGGAUAACGUCCGGCGGGGGUGACCCCAGGGAAAGUGCCACAGAGAACGAACCGCUCUGCUUCGCCUUCGGGCUUCGCAGAGUAAGGGUGAAAAGGUGCGGUAAGGGCGCACCGCGGGUCCGGCAACGGAGCCGGCAUGGCAAACCCCACCGGGAGCAAAACCGAAUAGGGACGGCAAAUGCGGGCCGAUCGCGCAAGCGAUAACGCCGCGGGGCGAUGUCAGGCCCGCCGUCCGGGUAGGUUGCUCGAGGCCAUGUGCAAACAUGGUCCCAGAGGAAUGGCCGUCACGUAUCGUUCGCGCAAGCGGACGGUGCCUUACAGAACCCGGCUUACAGGCCGGCUGAUAUC